GACGAACGCUGGCGGCGUGCCUAAUACAUGCCAGUUGAGCGCUGAAGGUUGGUACUUGUACCAACUGGAUGAGCAGCGAACGGGUGAGUAACGCGUGGGGAAUCUGCCUUUGAGCGGGGGACAACAUUUGGAAACGAAUGCUAAUACCGCAUAAAAACUUUAAACACAAGUUUUAAGUUUGAAAGAUGCAAUUGCAUCACUCAAAGAUGAUCCCGCGUUGUAUUAGCUAGUUGGUGAGGUAAAGGCUCACCAAGGCGAUGAUACAUAGCCGACCUGAGAGGGUGAUCGGCCACAUUGGGACGGAGACACGGCCCAAACUCCUACGGGAGUCAGCAGUAGGGAAUCUUCGGCAAUGGACGAAAGUCUGACCGAGCAACGCCGCGUGAGUGAAGAAGGUUUUCGGAUCGUAAAACUCUGUUGGUAGAGAAGAACGUUGGUGAGAGUGGAAAGCUCAUCAAGUGACGGUAACUACCCAGAAAGGGACGGCUAACUACGUG
Molecule: ribosomal RNA, 497 nt
Filed under: uncultured bacterium
Lineage: Bacteria
Description: partial 16S ribosomal RNA
Rfam family: Bacterial small subunit ribosomal RNA
Source: RNAcentral